This 224-nucleotide long non-coding RNA is filed under the name Ananas comosus (pineapple). Its description in RNAcentral is "long non-coding RNA (ACOM_LNC022775)". The record is from RNAcentral. Lineage: Eukaryota; Viridiplantae; Streptophyta; Magnoliopsida; Poales; Bromeliaceae.
AGAACUAGUUAGUGCGAUUAAGAGGGGACAAGUAUAUCAAUUGGUGGUAGUGCGUUUUUCGAGCUGUUCAGAGUCACAUCUCAUCUUCCUUCUGCAUAAGAAACAUUAUUAAUUGUUUCAUCAAAUUAACGUCGGUAUUGCUGCAAAUGACUACUGUCGAAAGUAGAAAUAAAAGCAGAGGUGAAAGCGGGGUCAGACAGACACUUCGUCUGUAGCUCGAAAAG